AGCAGAGCCCAUAACAUCCUUUCAUGUUGGUGCUUUCUGAUUCACAGAUUGUUCAAGUAAACUUUGUUAAAUUUCUUUUGUCAGAAGUUCUUCUUUUAACAAUUGUGUGUUAAGACAUAACUCUGGGAGCGUUUUGCAAAAUGCUUUUGAACAGGGAGAAAAUGUUGGCAUGAGGAUGAGUUUGGAUGCCUUUGAAAUAAUCCAGGCAAUAGAUAACUUUAAGAGAUGGGAGUGUUCCAGGUGGAGUAAAUAGCUUCUGCAGAAGCCCACAAUCUAAAUGCCCAACAGGGAACAUCUGCUUGGAACUCCCUUUGCUUGCUCUUCGCCAGUGCCUUUGACUUUCAUCACACCUGUUCACCAGCUCUAUCAGCUUGGUAGAAGUGAAAGCCCUACUCCUGGCAAUGGGUCAUUUGAGCUUAGAGGAGUGGGCUGGAGAAGAGGAAAUGAUACCAUGUUCUUUUAAGAAAAAAGAGGAAAAAGCCCACAAGAUGAACACUAUGGUGUAUAACCCUGUCAUGUCUUUUUAGCAAUGAACUUUGGAGCCCUGGAAACAAGUAGCCCUAAGUUACAACACUCAAUUUUAAAUGGGAAAGAGCAUCUCCUAAAAGAAAACUAUCCAGAGAAGCUGUGAAGAGAAAUUCAAAGGAAGGGUAAACUCUGAGUUUACAGUGUGGCUUCUUGCCAUUUUGUAUAUUGACAGAACACUAUAAGCCUUAUGUCAAUAUCCUGUAAAGGAUGAGUGUCACAGGAGGCAUGAAAAAUAAAGCUGAAAGAAAUUUGUAUAAUAUCUAUAAAAGCACUUCUAACCCUGAGAGAAAGCAUUAAAAUAAAAGAGAGGGGCUGUAUGUUAUCUCUGUUUCUGCAUAAGAAUGCAGAAGAAUUCAUGAACUCUGCGAAUGCAGAAGUUAAUGAACAUCAUGAAAAGAAUAAAAGAGGAAUGAAAAUGCAAACAUACAAGUUUGGGAUGUUAUCACACAUUAAUCGGAAAUGCAAAAAUAAAUUGACAAUACUAUGUGUUGGCAAGAACACAAUGGGAACUCUCAUUCACUACUAGUGGGUGUGUAAAUUAAUACAAACUGUUUGAAAACAGUUUUAACUUGUCCUUUCAAACUAUACUACAAGGCUACAGUAACCAAAACAGCAUGGUACUGGUACCAAAACAGACAUAUAGACCAAUGGGGCAGAGCAGAAACCUCAGACAUAACACCACACAUCUACAACCAUCUGAUCUUCAACAAACCUGAUAAAAACAAGUAAUGGGGAAAGGAUCUCCUAAUCAGUAAAUGGUGCUGGGAAAACUGGCUAGUUAUAUGCGGAAAACUGAAACUGGACCCCUUCCUUACACCUUAUACAAAAAUUAACUCACAAUGCAUUACAAACUUAAAUAUAAAAUCCAAAAGCAUAAAAACUCUAGAAGAAAACCUAGGCAAUACCAUUUAGGACAGGCAUGGGCAAAGACUUCAUGACAAAAACUUCAAAAGCAAUUGCAACAAAAGCCCAAAUUGACAAAUGGGGUCUAAUUAAACUAAAGACCUUCUGCACAGCAAAAGAAACUAUCAUCAGAGUGAACAGGCAACCUACAGAUUGGGAGAAAAUUUUUGCAAUCUACCCAUCUGAUGAAAGUGUAAUAUCCAGAAUUUACAAGGAACUUAAACAUAUUUACAAGAAAAAAACAACCCCAUCGAAAAGUGGGCACAGGAUAUGAACAGACACUUCUCAAAAGAAGACAUUUAUGCAGCCAACAAACAUGAAAAAAGCUCAACAUCACUGAUCAUCAGAGAAAUGCAAAUCAAAACCACAAUGAGAUACCAUCUCACACCAGUCAGAAUGGUGAUUAUUAAAAAGUUAGGAGACAAUAGAUGCUGGCAAGGCUGUAGAGAAAUAGGAAUGCUUUUGCACUGUUGGUGGGAAUGUAAAUUAGUUCAACCAUUGUGGAAGACAGCAUAGUGAUUCCUCAAGGAUCUAGAACCAGAAAUACCAUUUGUUUCAGCAAUCCUAUUACUGGGAAUAUACCCAAAGGAAUAUAAGUCAUUCUACACAUGCACACGUAUGUUUAUUGCAGCAAUAUUUACAAUAGCAAAGACAUGGAACCAACCCAAAUGCCCAUCAAUGAUAGACUGGAUAAAGAAAAUGUGGUACAUAUACACCAUGGAGCCAUAAAAAGGAAGGAGAUCAUGUCCUUUGCAGGGACAUGGAUGAAGCUGAAAGCCAUCAUCCUCAGUAAACAAGCACAGGAACAGAAAACCAAA
Molecule: long non-coding RNA, 2249 nt
Filed under: Homo sapiens (human)
Lineage: Eukaryota; Metazoa; Chordata; Mammalia; Primates; Hominidae
Description: non-protein coding lnc-OR13C4-8:1
Source: RNAcentral